This 179-nucleotide ribosomal RNA is filed under the name uncultured bacterium. Its description in RNAcentral is "partial 16S ribosomal RNA". It matches the Rfam family "Bacterial small subunit ribosomal RNA", at positions 355 to 526 of the family's 1533-position model. The record is from RNAcentral.
UGGGGAAUAUUGCACAAUGGACGAAAGCCUGAUGCAGCAACGCCGCGUGAGUGAUGAAGGCCUUCGGGUYGUAAAGCUCUUUUGUUAGGGAAGAACAAGUAGCGGAGUAACUGCCGGUACCUUGACGGUUCCUUACCAGAAAGCCACGGCUAACUACAUGCCAGCAGCCGCGGUAAUUA